Molecule: ribosomal RNA, 369 nt
Filed under: uncultured bacterium
Lineage: Bacteria
Description: bacterial SSU rRNA
Rfam family: Bacterial small subunit ribosomal RNA
Source: RNAcentral
AUUGAACGCUGGCGGCAUGCCUUACACAUGCAAGUCGAACGGCAGCACGGGGGCAACCCUGGUGGCGAGUGGCGAACGGGUGAGUAACAUAUCGGAACAUACCCUAGAGUGGGGGAUAACGUAGCGAAAGUUACGCUAAUACCGCAUACGAUCUAAGGAUGAAAGUGGGGGAUCUUCGGACCUCAUGCUCAUGGAGUGGCCGAUAUCUGAUUAGCUAGUUGGUGAGGUAAAGGCUCACCAAGGCGACGAUCAGUAGCUGGUUUGAGAGAACGACCAGCACACUGGAACUGAGACACGGUCCAGACUCCUACGGAGGCAGCAGUGGGGAAUUUUGGGACAAAUGGGGGGCAACCCCGUGAUCCAGCGAUG